UCCUCGAUAGUAUAGUGGUCAGUAUCUCCGCCUGUCACGUGGAAGGCCCGGGUUUCGAUUUCCCGGUCGGGGAG
This is a non-coding RNA of Macrostomum lignano, 74 nucleotides long. The record is from Rfam. Lineage: Eukaryota; Metazoa; Platyhelminthes; Macrostomidae.